This 3523-nucleotide long non-coding RNA is filed under the name Solanum tuberosum (potato). RNAcentral describes it as "long non-coding RNA (STUB_LNC005575)". The record is from RNAcentral. Lineage: Eukaryota; Viridiplantae; Streptophyta; Magnoliopsida; Solanales; Solanaceae.
CCAAGAGCCACCGACUUCUCUCUCAAAUAAGUUUUUCGAGCUCCUAAUAGUUCAAGGAGCAGUCAUGGUUAGGAACAAGUCGAAGACAGAAUCAGAGGUGUUUUGGCACUUCAAACUUCUUCGAGGAUUACUGCAACUUUACGGUAAUUCUUUGUCAUUUCUCUGUUUUUCUCUUUAAUAUUUUUAGAUUUGAUUUAUAAAGUGUCUAUCUUCAAAUGUAUUUUUGACGAUUUUCUUUUGAUCUUCAAUUUUUUUUCCUUCGGUAUAUAAAUUUGUCUAAAUAGAUUUAUAAAGUUUUGGUUUUAGAUUUAGUUCUAUGGAUUGAUGAAGAUUUGAUUUUUGUGUUGUCCAAAUUUGUGGAAAAUCGAAAUUAUGGCCAAAAUUGAGAUAAAGGCCUGCCAGAAAUCGCAAAACCCAGGUCAUUAGUGUCAGCAUGAACAUUUAGAGAACCAUUAAAAAGCCAAAAAAAACAAAAUAUAGGUCAUUUGUGCAGUGAGAAAUAUAUGGUAUUCUCAAAAAAAAAUUAGGAACAUUUGGGAAGAACAGUUGAAAAUACUUGGGGAGAAAAGUUAAGGGACAGAGUCGUCUGUGCAGUUAGAAAAUCUUUCAUGAUGUUGUUGUAUCAACAAGUUUACGAGUAGCAAUUACUUUGUAUUUUUUCACUUGAACAACUCUCAAGUUCAAAAUCCAAAAUUUAAGCCAACACAAUUUAGAAGUUUACAUAAAGGGAAGGAAAAAACACAGUAAAUUUUUAGUUAAUGAUUGUAAUUAACAUAGUCACUACAACAAAUUUCUAAACAAACCUAUACAUAAAAUGUGAAGUUGAAACAAAUUUAGAUUCAUUUCUUAAGUUUUCAUCCCUAUAUGUUUUCUCCUCGAUUUUCUUAUGAGCUUCAAAAACAAAAAAUGGGUUGAUGAAGUUUGAAUAUUGAAAGUUAAAUUACUGUCCAACAACGUGGUUCUUUUCUUUCCCUAAAAUUCUCCGAUCAGUGCUUAUAUGUUCCUCGCUAUUUCAAUCUUGUUCACUUUGUGUUCCCAUGGCCCAUGCUAUUGUUAUGUUUUACUCACCAAGUACAGCUAAUCUUUGGAAGUGUUAUGAAAUGCCUACUACCAUUUAGUAACCAAUGGUACAACAUAUGACAUUGUCCCUUCCAGCUUUUACCUACCAGCUCAGCCAUGCUCCAAAUUUCUUUGAUGCAGUUUGAAACUUCAGUAAUGGUAUAUGAGAGAAAUUGUUAUUAGUUUUUAGAUAUGGUGCCUCCUAAAACGAUCUACUAAAUUCAUCGAGUUGUUUCAAGGGAUCAAAAUGGUUAAUUAUUAAUGGGAUUCCUUCACUGCUCUUAGAUUCCAUUAUUUUAGUCUACUUUGUAACUCUUUUCCUCUUAUGAUUACUCAAAGAAAAUUAAGGACCAAUAUUUACCAUUUCCUUUUGUUUCUAUUGUUCGAGAAGCCUCAAGUUUGUUGUACUAAAUUUUUGUGGAUUGACAGAUUCUGGACUAUAAUAUGUGUUCUUAACUUAUAAUUGAUUAUGAAUUCUUUAUAAUUACCUCAAGGUCUUUGUUGAUUGUUUGUACAGAAAGAGUCCCCAAAGGAGAGUCCUCCUGAAUAGCCUCAAAGCCCUUGUGUAAGUCCCUCAAAUGAUUCUGUUUUGAUUCCUUAAACAGAUUCGAAAAGAUGUAACAAUUGGUUAGUUAUCAUUAAAAUGUUGUUUCAGCGUUAGUUUACCAAAAGCAGUUUAGAUAUUAAUUGGAAUGAUUGUUUAUUAGAUUCAACAUCAAAUGUUGUCGUUGUGUCGUUGCACGCCGUGAUCCAGCAACAUCAAUUGUCGCCAAAAAAGGUUUGUCUUACUCUUAACAUUCCAACAAUGCUUGCAAAUCUUCUGUGGACACUCAUGUCAUACAUUACUGCAACUGCUAUAUCGAACACCCUUAACACAUACUCUCCAUCAGAGUUUAAAGCACUUUAUGGUAGACUUUGCUAAUGAAACAAACGAAGGUUAAACCAUUCUGAUUGUUAUGACUGGCAAGAAUUAGUUGAUUCUUUCAGUGCACUUUGGUUCUUCUUAUAAGUUAUCAUUCAUUCUUCAACCAAACUCGGGCGUCUCUAUUAGAGUUGUUAAGCAAGUAUGAUUUAACACUUACUAUUAUAUGAUCAUGAAUUUAUUUUCUAUUUGUAUUUUCUUUAUGUUUUGUAUUGCAGAGGAGGAUUUAACAUUUCGUUUGUUAAUAAUUUUUGUCAUAUAUGAUGUGGUAGUUGAUGCAACAGAGAAUUCUCUAAACCGCUACAUGAUUAAUGACUGUUGCGUUAUGCUUGGAAAGGUUAAUUGUUUGUUUCUUUCUUUCUUUCUUUCUUUCUUUGGUAAGUUAGUUGUUUCUUAUGAUGUUCUCAUUUUAUACAAAUUUUGUUGGUAACAAACUAACAAUGAUAUUUUAUUGAAAGUUGGAUUCGUAAAUACUAUACACCAUACAACUACAUUUGGAUCCAAUAACUUUGGAUUCUCUAUUGAAGGAUCUUUCACAUUUUGUCUAAUUAUCAACUUUCUUAUAAAAUUACUUAUUGGUAUGAUCAUGUAAUUAUGAUAUGAAUAUUAUUGCAUUAUCGUACAGACAGCUCAUAUAGUACAAAUGUGAAAUUGGAUGAUAAGUUCAUUCAGAUGUUGGUCGAUUAAUCUGAUAACUGGUUAUUUGUAUUAAUAACAACCUCUUGUAUCUAGAGCUGAUCUAGGACUAAAAGGCCAGGUACCAUUUCCUGGCAGCAUUCAUUAUUUUGAGAGCUUUUGUGUUUCCCUAAACUUCGAAUUGAUUCGUAACUUUAGGCUCCGAAUGAUCACACGAUUGACUGACAACGUUAUAUGAAUAUGGAGUUUGUUAUCUAACAAUUUUUUUUUGAAAGAGCAGAUGACUUAAUACUAGGAAUACUGCAUGUACAAAUAGUUUGUGUGAAAAAAACAACACAUUUGCUUAGAUUGCAUCUCUUAAAUAUGUAGCCAUUCUCUGUGAAUAAACAUAGGUGGGUGGUUUCACUUUUGAAUGAUUAAUCUACAGUACGUUUGUGCUCAACUGCCUUAGCUUCUCUUUUCCCAGUUUGUUUACUUCUAAAAGAGCCUUCAUUUCUAAUGUGAUUUGUGCUUGAAAUUUUGACCUACAUAGAUACAGAAUCGAGGUGCAUAAUACCUAGGCGAGGCAGUUGUGAAAUGAGGAGACAUACAGAGUGCACGAUGAAGUUCGAACGAAGAAUGUGGCAUUUGAAAGCUUUAGUGAAUAUUGUUGAUCACCAUCACUAGAAGAAAAUUGGCCACGCUCUUAAUAUGAAUAUGUGAUCCAUAUAAAGCAAUUUUAUUUUAUUUUACAGCUUGAAUUAUGAGUAGUUAGUGAUCCAUAUAAAGCAAUUUUUUUUAUCAAGUUAUAAAAAUUUGAUAUAGGCAAGUAUUGGGCCCGUGCUUGCACGGGCUAACCAAAUCUAGUACAUAAAGAGUAGUUAGUAACUACAACAAAUAUGCUUUUUCGAAAUCAAGACUUCUCAA